GGGCCCAUAGCUCAGCUGGUUAGAGCACCUGCCUUUUAAGCAGGGUGUCGUGGGUUCGAGCCCCACUGGGCCCUCCA
Molecule: transfer RNA, 77 nt
Filed under: Candidatus Saccharimonadota bacterium
Lineage: Bacteria; Candidatus Saccharimonadota
Also listed under: 2 other names
Description: tRNA-Lys
Rfam family: tRNA
About the family: Transfer RNA (tRNA) molecules are approximately 80 nucleotides in length.
Source: RNAcentral